Molecule: non-coding RNA, 26 nt
Filed under: Homo sapiens (human)
Lineage: Eukaryota; Metazoa; Chordata; Mammalia; Primates; Hominidae
Source: RNAcentral
UAGUGAUGAGUCAGGACUUGAAGCCC